UACGUAGGUGGCAAGCGUUGUCCGGAAUUAUUGGGCGUAAAGGGCGCGUAGGCGGCACUCUAAGUCAGAUGUGAAAACCCGGGGCUCAACCCCGGAGGUGCAUUUGAAACUGGAGAGCUUGAGUGCGGGAGAGGUAAGUGGAAUUCCUAGUGUAGCGGUGAAAUGCGUAGAUAUUAGGAGGAACACCAGUGGCGAAGGCGACUUACUGGACCGUAACUGACGCUGAGGCGCGAAAGCGUGGGGAGCAAACAGG
This 253-nucleotide ribosomal RNA is filed under the name uncultured bacterium. RNAcentral describes it as "partial 16S ribosomal RNA". It matches the Rfam family "Bacterial small subunit ribosomal RNA", at positions 524 to 776 of the family's 1533-position model. The record is from RNAcentral.